UACAGAGGGUGCAAACGUUGUUCGGAAUUACUGGGCGUAAAGCGCAUGUAGGCGGCCUAGCAGGUCGGAUGUGAAAUCCCUCGGCUCAACCAAGGAAGUGCAUUCGAAACCGCAAGGCUGGAGUCCCGGAGAGGAUGGUGGAAUUCUCGGUGUAGAGGUGAAAUUCGUAGAUAUCGAGAGGAACACCUGCGGCGAAGGCGGGUUGCUGGGCUGACACUGACGCUGAUGCGCGAAAGCUAGGGGAGCGAACGGG
Molecule: ribosomal RNA, 253 nt
Filed under: uncultured bacterium
Lineage: Bacteria
Description: partial 16S ribosomal RNA
Rfam family: Bacterial small subunit ribosomal RNA
Source: RNAcentral